RNAcentral lists this signal recognition particle RNA (249 nucleotides) under Candidatus Auribacterota bacterium. Its description in RNAcentral is "partial signal recognition particle sRNA large type". It matches the Rfam family "Bacterial large signal recognition particle RNA". Rfam says of the family: The signal recognition particle (SRP) is a universally conserved ribonucleoprotein involved in the co-translational targeting of proteins to membranes. Archaeal SRP consists of a 7S RNA and homologues of the eukaryotic SRP19 and SRP54 proteins. In most bacteria, the SRP consists of a 4.5S RNA and the Ffh protein (a homologue of the eukaryotic SRP54 protein). Lineage: Bacteria; Pseudomonadati; Candidatus Auribacterota. The record is from RNAcentral.
AGCGGUGCCCUGUAACCUGCAAUCCGCUCUAGCAGGAUUUAAUUCCCUUGUUAAGAGGGUACCCGGAUUUUCUGAAGCGGUUUUCUUUAGCUGUGAAGGCUGGGUCUCAUGGAAGGCAUGUUUGUGAACCCCGUCAGAUUUGGAAGAAAGCAGCGGUAAACAAAAAUUUGCUUGUGCUAUGGGAGUGCCUGGCUGGAGCGAUGGAGCUGGUGGAUGAAUUUUUGGGGAGCCUCGAGGCGGGGUGCACGG